RNAcentral lists this long non-coding RNA (465 nucleotides) under Homo sapiens (human). RNAcentral describes it as "HSALNT0173575". The record is from RNAcentral. Lineage: Eukaryota; Metazoa; Chordata; Mammalia; Primates; Hominidae.
CAAGCCAUGCUUCCUGUACAGCCUGUGGAACGGCGCAGGGAGCUGGAAGAACACGCAAGAGACAGUAGAUGGUCUGAGAGUACCUGUGCUGAAAUGGAAUUGUCUUUGAGUGGACACUUCUUAGAUGAGACCUAUUGUGGCCAAUAGCUCCUGAGGAACUGAAGCCUUCAGUUCAAAACUUGUGUGAGAAAAAUGAAUCUUGCCAACUACUGGAGUGAGCUUAGAAAUGAAUCCAUCCCCAGUUGACCCUUGAAUGUAGCCUUGUCAGAGACCCAGAGACAAAGCAUCCUGCUAAUCUGCACUGGGUUCUAGGCCCACAGAAACCAUGGGAUAAUAACUUUGUGUUGCUAUAAGCCACUGAAAACAAACAAAUAAAAUACUUAAGAUGUUCCCCUGUGGAAGGGUUCCAUUGCCAGGGAUCUGCACUUCACAACCAAAGGGAUUAAAGAGAAUUGCCUUCUUCAG